GACGAACGCUGGCGGCGUGCCUAAUACAUGCAAGUCGAGCGAAGUUUUUCUGGUGCUUGCACUAGAAACACUUAGCGGCGAACGGGUGAGUAACACGUAAAGAACCUGCCUCAUAGACUGGGACAACUAUUGGAAACGAUAGCUAAUACCGGAUAACAGUAUUUCUCGCAUGAGAGAUAUUUAAAAGUUGGUUAUGCUAACACUAUGAGAUGGCUUUGCGGUGCAUUAGCUAGUUGGUGGGGUAAAGGCCCACCAAGGCGACGAUGCAUAGCCGACCUGAGAGGGUGAUCGGCCACACUGUGACUGAGACACGGCCCAGACUCCUACGGGAGGCAGCAGUAGGGAAUCUUCCGCAAUGGGCGAAAGCCUGACGGAGCAACGCCGCGUGAGUGAAGAAGGAUUUCGGUUCGUAAAGCUCUGUUGUUAGGGAAGAAUGGAUAUGUAGUAACUAUACAUGUAAGAGACGGUACCUAACCAGAAAGCCACGGCUAACUACGUG
This 499-nucleotide ribosomal RNA is filed under the name uncultured bacterium. Its description in RNAcentral is "partial 16S ribosomal RNA". It matches the Rfam family "Bacterial small subunit ribosomal RNA", at positions 28 to 507 of the family's 1533-position model. The record is from RNAcentral.